This is a long non-coding RNA of Lolium rigidum, 1517 nucleotides long. RefSeq lists it as uncharacterized. The transcript is spliced from 4 exons. The record is from RefSeq and is a predicted model, not a curated record. Lineage: Eukaryota; Viridiplantae; Streptophyta; Magnoliopsida; Poales; Poaceae.
AUUGAAUGUUUACCAGUGAACUCAUAGUUUAACCAAUCGGCUUCUUACAAAACCAUUAUCAAAUGUAUUUCUCCAUCUUUCCUCACCUUUCAUGCUUCCCCUCAAUUUUUCUUCUCUUUCCCUUUGCUUAUUUUAUUUUUCCUUUCAGUUUUGCCAGGCUAGGACAUCACUGGUCGUGUCAGGAAAUCAGUUUGGAAAUCCUCUUGGAAGGUGACCGAUGCGCGAGCGUUGCUGCAGAGUAGGUAGUCAAGAAGCAUGUUGCGGCCAUCGCUGCUGUCACCAGCACACAACGCUGGAACCAAAACGGACGUGUGGAGCUUCAUGUGGAGGUCAUCGAUCGAGCGUGGGGAUGUCGGCUUUCCUUAGUGUUGGUCAUCAAAGCAUGUCUAUCGAGCGAGCAGUCAUUUAAUUGUGCAACAGUUGUUCUGACAAGAGAUGCUUGUGGAGGAAUAUCGGGGUGACUGCAUACUGACACAAGAAGGCUAGAACAAUGACUCGAAAAUCGGUUUUCUUGGUAUAGGCGAUGGAAGUGUACAAAAGUGCUAAAAUAAUGAUUGAUGGUCUAAUUGAGUGAAGAUAAAAGACUAAAAAGUUUUGAUCUACAUGCUACAAUCAAGCCAUCAGUAGAUCAAUAGGAAGGUGUGCACUUGAAAUUUGUCAUGACUUACUUCCAGGUAGGGCUUCUCUCAUGUGUCUUGGUGCCUCGUUUUUGCUUCUCUACGGGUUCCUACCAGCAGAACUUCUCUUCUUUCACUUUUUAUUAGGUGUUCCCUGCGGCCACUGCUUCGCCCGUGCUCCGAAUCUGUCUUAGCAUUGUUGGCUGCUUCAUCAUGUGGGAGUGAUUGUUCUCAGGUCUCAUCAUCUCAACAAAUCACAUGCAGAAGAGAGAAGAAACUUGGCACAACUUCCAGCAAACAAUUAAAAUUAGAGGGAGAUAGGUACAAGUCAAGAAAAAAACCUUGAUGUGUUGUCUAAAAAGGAGAGGCAGCACAUCAAUAGUGGAACUGUGGGAAUGAUCCCUGGAUCGAAUAGUGGUUGGAUUCGUCGAGCAGCCCACAUGACAGGCAGUGUCGGAUGCCAUCCUCAAGAAUACCGUGGUGGCGCAUCCAGCUCUGGUUCCGGAGGUUCAUUGCCGCCCCGCGGAUAUUCAUCCCCUCUUCGCCCGAGCAGCGGUGGCAGGAUGCACUCUCAGCAUCUACUGGUUCGUGGCUCUCAGAUGCGUGAGCGUUUUCCCCAAUAAAUGGUUGCAGGUCGGACAAGGCUCACAGAGUAAGUUGUGUAUGUAUGCUACGCGACCUGGGCAGAAGGACAUGCUAGAUGUGAUGAAUCGGUGGCGCAGGCCAUGGGGAGCAUUGUAGUGUACUCGAUAUGCUUCAGCUGUACUCGAUCUGCUUGAAUUGGGGAAAGGUAGUGGCAAGUAGUGUCAUGGGAGAGAAAGAAAAAGCUAGAAGGGGAUCUGACAGAAUGCUUGUGACUAUUCGGUGUGGGGGUGUUGCUUCGUGCAUGCCCAUGGGAGU